This 502-nucleotide ribosomal RNA is filed under the name uncultured Acidovorax sp. Its description in RNAcentral is "bacterial SSU rRNA". It matches the Rfam family "Bacterial small subunit ribosomal RNA", at positions 8 to 507 of the family's 1533-position model. The record is from RNAcentral. Lineage: Bacteria; Pseudomonadati; Pseudomonadota; Betaproteobacteria; Burkholderiales; Comamonadaceae.
AGAGUUUGAUCCUGGCUCAGAUUGAACGCUGGCGGCAUGCCUUACACAUGCAAGUCGAACGGUAACAGGUCUUCGGAUGCUGACGAGUGGCGAACGGGUGAGUAAUACAUCGGAACGUGCCCGAUCGUGGGGGAUAACGAAGCGAAAGCUUUGCUAAUACCGCAUACGAUCUACGGAUGAAAGCAGGGGACCGCAAGGCCUUGCGCGAACGGAGCGGCCGAUGGCAGAUUAGGUAGUUGGUGGGAUAAAAGCUUACCAAGCCGACGAUCUGUAGCUGGUCUGAGAGGACGACCAGCCACACUGGGACUGAGACACGGCCCAGACUCCUACGGGAGGCAGCAGUGGGGAAUUUUGGACAAUGGGCGAAAGCCUGAUCCAGCCAUGCCGCGUGCAGGAUGAAGGCCUUCGGGUUGUAAACUGCUUUUGUACGGAACGAAAAGACUCUGGUUAAUACCUGGGGUCCAUGACGGUACCGUAAGAAUAAGCACCGGCUAACUACGUG